GAAGGAUCAUUAAAGAUUAUGAAUGAAUAGAUUACUGGGGGAAUCGUCUGAACAAGGCUGCGCUUAAUUGCGCGGCCAGUUCUUGAUUCUCUGCUAUCAGUUUUCUAUUUCUCAUCCUAAACACAAUGGGAGUUUUUUCUCUAUGAACUACUUCCCUGGAGAGCUCGUCUCUCCAGUGGACAUAAACACAAACAAUAUUUUGUAUUAUGAAAAACUAUUAUACUAUAAAAUUUAAUAUUCAAAACUUUCAACAACGGAUCUCUUGGUUCUCGCAUCGAUGAAGAACGCAGCGAAUUGCGAUAUGUAUUGUGAAUUGCAGAUUUUCGUGAAUCAUCAAAUCUUUGAACGCACAUUGCGCCCUCUGGUAUUCCAGGGGGCAUGCCUGUUUGAGCGUCAUUUCUCUCUCAAACCUUUGGGUUUGGUAGUGAGUGAUACUCGUCUCGGGUUAACUUGAAAGUGGCUAGCCGUUGCCAUCUGCGUGAGCAGGGCUGCGUGUCAAGUCUAUGGACUCGACUCUUGCACAUCUACGUCUUAGGUUUGCGCCGAAUUCGUGGUAAGCUUGGGUCAUAGAGACUCAUAGGUGUUAUAAAGACUCGCUGGUGUUUGUCUCCUUGAGGCAUACGGCUUUAACCAAAACUCUCAAAGUUGACCUCAAAUCAGGUAGGAGUACCCGCUGAACUUAAGCAUAUCAAUAAGCGGAGGAAAAGAAACCCAACCGGGAUUGCAUUAGUAACGGCGAGUGAAGCGGCAAAAGCUCAAAUUUGAAAUCUGGCGUCUUCGACGUCCGAGUUGUAAUUUGAAGAAGGCGACUUUGUAGCUGGUCCUUGUCUAUGUUCCUUGGAACAGGACGUCAUAGAGGGUGAGAAUCCCGUGUGGCGAGGAUCCCAGUUAUUUGUAAAGUGCUUUCGACGAGUCGAGUUGUUUGGGAAUGCAGCUCUAAGUGGGUGGUAAAUUCCAUCUAAAGCUAAAUAUUGGCGAGAGACCGAUAGCGAACAAGUACAGUGAUGGAAAGAUGAAAAGAACUUUGAAAAGAGAGUGAAAAAGUACGUGAAAUUGUUGAAAGGGAAGGGCAUUUGAUCAGACAUGGCGUUUGCUUCGGCUUUCGCUGGGCCAGCAUCAGUUUUAGCGGUUGGAUAAAUCCUCGGGAAUGUGGCUCUGCUUCGGUAGAGUGUUAUAGCCCGUGGGAAUACAGCCAGCUGGGACUGAGGAUUUAUUGCGACUUUUGUCAAGGAUGCUGGCGUAAUGGUUAAAUGCCGCCCGUCCGA
This 1265-nucleotide ribosomal RNA is filed under the name Kluyveromyces marxianus. Its description in RNAcentral is "eukaryotic LSU rRNA". The stretch from base 647 to 1265 matches the Rfam family "Eukaryotic large subunit ribosomal RNA", at positions 1 to 656 of the family's 3401-position model. Lineage: Eukaryota; Fungi; Ascomycota; Saccharomycetes; Saccharomycetales; Saccharomycetaceae. The record is from RNAcentral.